RNAcentral lists this long non-coding RNA (667 nucleotides) under Phoenix dactylifera (date palm). RNAcentral describes it as "long non-coding RNA (PDAC_LNC003653)". Lineage: Eukaryota; Viridiplantae; Streptophyta; Magnoliopsida; Arecales; Arecaceae. The record is from RNAcentral.
GUUUGAUGGGGUGUGUGGGCGGACGGGAGAGAGGGCAGAUCGUGGCGGCGGUGAGGAGGAGGCGGCUGAAGAGAAGGGGGGUAGGAAGGCGGCGGCGCUCGGUGGCGAUUGCAAAGGCUGCAAGACGGAGGUGGAUGGCGGUCGCGGCGCGGAGACGUCGCUGCGUGUGGAUGGCGGAGGAAGAUGGGAGCGGCGCUGCGAGAAGAUGGCGCACGAAGGAAGCACUCGGGUUCGGGAGGUGGGGGAAGAAUGCCGGCUAUCAGCAGCGUCGCAGCUGGUCCGGACGGCGCUGUGGUUGGCCGCGGGAAGGAGGCGCCUCGGUUGGUGGUGUCGCGGUUCGGUAACGGUGUGCGGACGCGGUCGGCGUAGGAGGUGCGGCUCGGCGACAAUGGGGGAUGGCGUGGCGGCGCGGCGUGGGCUCGGAUGACGGAGGAGAAGGCGAAGGCGGCAGAGAGCAGCACAGCGGAGGCGGUGGCAAUGGCGUCGGCGGCGGAAACCCUUAGGGUUUCCCUUCGACAGAAACAGAGGUAAGAAUCUUUUUUUUUGGACACGUGCAGGUCACGUGAUCCGACGGAUUUUUUUUUUUUGAACCUUAACGGGUUCGGGUUAUCGGGUUCGGGUUUCGAAUGAGACCCACUCCGAUAACUGUGAAACUCAGCACGUGCAG